AUGCUAAACCGUCAGAAGUUGGUUUUCAAAGUUUUCGAAAUAGUUCCUCAAAGAGCCAUCUAGAAGCUAUACGAGACGGUGGAGAUAAUAAGCUCUACAAUUGGCUAAAAGCUUUUCGUUCGAACCGGGCACACUGUAUAGGAUAGCCACGGAUGAGGCGGGAUUAUCGAGAAGAACCUGUUAGCUGCUACCCAAAACGAAAGAAAUAGAAGGACAAACUAUGAAGAGCAUGAGAAAAAUAUGGGCGAGUAUCCCGGCAGGUAAAGAACAAGAUGCACGACGCGAAAAGACUAAAAGAAGGAUACAGAAGGAGGAAGGUAGAAACGAAACGAAACAUUCGAAAGAUUCGUAAGAAUGAUUAAUUAAUCUUAUUUAUUUAACACAACUACUACCCUCGGAUUUUGAUAUCCAAAUCUUUCUGCUCUCAACUUGGCAAACAAACAAAAAAAAAAAAAAAAGAAUUCAUAAUGUCUUAAGGUGCUUAACGUAAAAUUAACGUGUACCAAUCGCAAUUCUUUCAAUUUUUGUUCAAACUUGAAAUAUCUUUUAGCGUUAGAGAAAUACAGUACAGAAAAAAGAAACGAUCAACGUCGAUAUAAAAAUGAAACAUUUAGAGGAAUAGAAUUUUUGUUACAAACGUUUCUAUCGUAUUUAAAGAUACUAAAUUUCUCCGCUAUCCUUAAGUACGAUUGCGUGUAGAAAGAGAAUCUUUGAAUUAACGAGAUAUCGGUUUCCGUAGAAACACGUACCAGCGAGAGGGAGGAAAAAUUCGUGGAAUCGAUGCGAAGGAUCUACGAGAGAAGAUACGAAUUCUCUUUUAAUAGGAUUAAUUUCGGCAGUUGAUAAUACGACUCGCGAACCCAGAUAAGCGAUUGACGAUGCAUGGUGUCGAAUCGUACAAUAAAUUUGAUCCAGCUAACACGGUCCUCCACUUAAGUGCAAAUACGGCGCCGAGGAUGCAAUAUGUUGCGAGAGGAUGCGCCUUAACACGCAUACCUGAAUUGCAAGCUAGCAAGGCAGUUUAUUCGCGCGUCUCGUCCAGCGGAACUCAUCGUGCAACGUUUCAAUUUCCGUGACAGACUGUGAUGGAUACAGGGAGGCAGCCUUUCGAAUAACCUCUUACAAUCUCUGAGGUCCUAUUAUCGUGUCUAGGUCUUUCUUCGUCGUGCAUUUCCUUUGUACGUCUUCGUGCUUUGCCAAAUCAAAUAGACGCGCGCGCAACUGUAAAUUGAAAUUGCACGUCCCUCGAAGAAAGGGACUCUUUUUCGUUUCCUUCGAAGAUCAUUUGUCUCGCUGUUAAGAAUUUCCCUAUCUUAAAAACGUCACUUUUGAUCGUUGACAGAUAAUUUUCUAUAGGAAACAUCUAUUAAAUCGACUCGUACAUCUUCGCUUACUUUGUCAUGUCACAUCAUCUUGCGCAAUUACCAUCAUACGUCGCUUGUGCUAACUCAUGUUCAUGCUUCUACUCUUAUAUGUUUAUAUAUACAAACGUUAUGCAUACGUAUGCAUACAAAAAGCUUCGACUUAAAUUUACCCGCGAUACUUCUAGUAAUUUAUUUGUGUUGUCCAUCAGGAAAUGUAAACAAUUAUAUAUUUCAGAUACAUGGAAUACAGGAGAAAAAGAGAGAGAGACGAUUCGUAUUACGUUGAUGCAUACCGAUGUUUCCAGCGUUGGAAAAUGCUGUUGGUGAAGGAGUUUGCAGAUAUGCUGACAGGCACGGUCGAACUACUUUCUAUUAGUUGAUGAAUUACAACGUGGACUACACGUGCUAUAUGUAUGUUGUAACCGAUAAGCAGUGGAAGUGAUUUUUUUCUCUGUAUAAUCGGUUAGUGCAACUGUAUCGAAGUUUGAGGGAAAGUAAAAUUACACUUCGAUAAAUACCGCUUUUCUGACGAAGAUAAGGAACAGGAAGGCGAAUACUUCAACUAUCUCGCUCGAUUUGAUUUGACAUGCAGAUUUCAUGUAUUACUGGUUUUACAUGUAUGAAAAUAUCAUUACGAAAUAAUCGAGAUAGAACAAUUUGAAUAUUAAGUUUGCAUAUCCUAUAGUUCGCAUUCUUAACACUAUUCAUUAUUUCAUUAUUGAUUAUACGUUAUUUAGUUAUUUCAAUCGACAAUUUAUCGAACGCGGUGUGUAGUAAGUGGACCGCGGAUUUUCACGCGUCUAUGGAAAAUUCGAAGGUACAAAUAUGAACAUAAUACGCGUAAUACUUAAAGAUAUAUAAAACAUUCACGAUGUAAUAGUUGAUAGAAUAUUUACGAGGUGAAACAAUUUUCUAUUCAGGUUCUGCCUUUUUUAAUUGCUAUUCAUAAAAAUUAGAAUUUGCAUAAAUAUUCGCGAUCUAGUAACAACCUAUCCGACCGUUGCAAUUACAUAUGUCGUACACCUAUUAAAAAGUAAACGAGACAUUAAUCGAAACCAUGGGCCGUAAAUAAUUAAAAAACUUGUAUAAGUAAUACUUGUAAUAAAACGGAAGAUAAACCGAAA
Bombus terrestris (buff-tailed bumblebee) is the source of this 2488-nucleotide long non-coding RNA. RefSeq lists it as uncharacterized. NCBI's taxonomy places the organism in Eukaryota, Metazoa, Arthropoda, Insecta, Hymenoptera, Apidae. The record is from RefSeq and is a predicted model, not a curated record. The transcript is spliced from 2 exons.